This 398-nucleotide ribosomal RNA is filed under the name uncultured bacterium. RNAcentral's name for it is "bacterial SSU rRNA". It matches the Rfam family "Bacterial small subunit ribosomal RNA", at positions 360 to 775 of the family's 1533-position model. The record is from RNAcentral.
AAUUUUCCACAAUGGGCGAAAGCCUGAUGGAGCAACGCCGCGUGCAGGAUGAAUGCCUUCGGGUUGUAAACUGCUUUUAUAUGUGACGAAUAUGACGGUAGCAUAUGAAUAAGGAUCGGCUAACUCCGUGCCAGCAGCCGCGGUAAUACGGAGGAUCCAAGCGUUAUCCGGAAUCAUUGGGUUUAAAGGGUCCGUAGGCGGGACAAUAAGUCAGUGGUGAAAGUCUGCAGCUUAACUGUAGAAUUGCCGUUGAAACUGUUGUUCUUGAGUAAUUAUGAAGUGGUUAGAAUAUGUAGUGUAGCGGUGAAAUGCAUAGAUAUUACAUAGAAUACCGAUUGCGAAGGCAGAUCACUAAUAAUUCACUGACGCUGAUGGACGAAAGCGUAGGUAGCGAACAG